UUUUUUUUUUUUUGGCCACACCUGUGGUACAUGGAAGUUCCCAGGCCAGGUAUUGAACCCAUGCCACUGCAGAGACAACACUGGAUCCUCAACCCACUGAGCCACAGUGAGAACUCCCUUCUUUAAAACUCUCCAGUGGCCUCAUUUGGCAUACGCUUUGCCACGGACUUCAGGUCCCUGAACGAUCUGGCCCUUUCCUGGCCUUUUGAAUUCACCUCCUCCUACUUUUUUCAAGUUCACAAGGCUGCAGCCUCAAGGCCUUCCUUCCAAAUGUCACCAGUCGCUCUUGUAUGGGAGUGUUGGCCACUGCUGCUUUUUGCACAGCUGACUACUCCUCACGGCCAAGGUUUCACGUGGGCCAGCACUUCCUUGAUGGUCUGUUUACACGUUUCACCAUCAUCCCGGGUCACAAGCUCCUCAGCCUGUUUUGAAGCCUUCAAAGCUCUUAUCACCCUUGGAGAGAGCCUUGUUCAUUUUCUUUCUUUGUGCCAGAUGACAGGCUAGUCCUGCCGGGAGCUGGGGCUGCCUCAACUUGCUCUGUCUUUCCUAAGUACCCGACACUUGGAAGGCCAUCGCCACCUAUUUGCUGACUUGAAUGGAUGGAAUCCUAUACAAAGUUAUUCUUCCUCUAAUAUCUGAAAUUCUACCAUUAGCAACGUAUUCCUUUUUUUUUUUUUUUUGCCUUUUGUCCUUUUAGGGCCACACCCACAGCGGCUGUGGAGGUUCCCAGGCUAGGGGUCGAAUCGGAGCUAUAGCCACCGGCCUACGCCAGAGCCACAGCUAUGCGGGAUCCGAGCCGCGUCUGCAACCUACACCACAGCUCACGGCAACGCCGGAUCCUUAACCCACUGAGCAAGGGCAGGGACCGAACCCGCAACCUCGUGGUUCCUAGUCGUAUUCGUUAACCACUGCGCCACGACGGGAACUCCCAUGCACAACUUUAAUGCAUUUGUUCAUCUUACAACACAGUCAAAAUCAGAAUAACACUAUGCAACCUGGAAUAGAUUCAUGGAGUUUAGAGAACAUUAUCUUUGUUCCUCUCACUUUUAGAUGGUGGAACAGAGGCCAAGAGGGGUUGAGUAACUUGUUCAGUAAUAAAGACAUGAUGUAUUAAAAACAGGAAAAUAAUCCAAGGUUUCUGGACAUGCAAGGAAGGUCUCUUUUCACUUUACCUUCUUAUUUCAUAGGGGAGACAGAUUUCAGUGGGUAGGGAACAAGGGACUUGGGGGUCUGAUGAGAACACUGAAGGAUCAGAUGGAAAGCUGGCAGGCACAAUCUCAAAAGCAUGACAAACCCCAGUUCCUGCAAAAUGAGGUCAAAUAGCCCCACUUAGGCUGUAGGGACUCAGGGGCAUCCUUUAGUUGAGCCAAGGGCAGCCCAAUACCUGAUAUUCACGACUCUGACCCUGAGUCAGAAAUCCAAGAUGAAAUCGUGUUUCUCAUAUUCUACUGAAGGAGGUAGGGAAGGGUUCCAUGCACUCUCAGGGACAUUCCUAUGCAAAAUGGUUAAAAUAAAUAUAUCAUUUGAUGUGCAAAGGGAUAAGCUUCAGUUAUGUGGAAAACACAUUCACACGGAACAGUCCGCGCCAAAUGAGGCAUUGCAGUAUUUGCAAAAUGUUCAGCAUGUCCUCCGAGUCUUGGCUACUCUGAGGUUUCUACUAAAUGAAAAAUGAGCUUUACUUGUGUCUAAAUCUGAGCUUAAGUGCACUCUCUAAAACCUUCCUGGGAAUUUUUUGGACAGGUGUCUCUUUUCAAACAGCAUAAUAUUUGGACAUUACAUUUUAAAUAUGUGCAGAUAAAAAUGAUAUUCCAAAUCUGUAUUUCACUUAUAACCAGAUGGGAUAACAGUAGUGAGAGUUACCGAGAGACAGUCCUUCAUGGAAAAAUAAUGGAAAUAGAACCUAACCUCUUCCUAACCCCGCCUGGAGGUUUGUGGCUACGAGUUCUAGAGCGAACAUCAUAUUCU
RNAcentral lists this long non-coding RNA (1965 nucleotides) under Sus scrofa (pig). Its description in RNAcentral is "lncRNA (ENSSSCG00030070328.1)". The record is from RNAcentral. Lineage: Eukaryota; Metazoa; Chordata; Mammalia; Artiodactyla; Suidae.